AAACACCGGUUCUCAUGCGAUCACCAAAGUUAAGCAAAGUCGAGUCUGGUAACUACCUUGAUUGGUGACCCCUUAGGAAUACCAGGUA
This is a non-coding RNA of Acanthosepion pharaonis, 88 nucleotides long. Lineage: Eukaryota; Metazoa; Mollusca; Cephalopoda; Sepiida; Sepiidae. The record is from the annotation of a GenBank genome assembly.